This 28-nucleotide non-coding RNA is filed under the name Mus musculus (house mouse). The record is from RNAcentral. Lineage: Eukaryota; Metazoa; Chordata; Mammalia; Rodentia; Muridae.
ACCAUUAAUAGUGUGUCCUGUAUUGACU